This 830-nucleotide ribosomal RNA is filed under the name Acinetobacter baumannii. RNAcentral's name for it is "bacterial SSU rRNA". It matches the Rfam family "Bacterial small subunit ribosomal RNA", at positions 1 to 825 of the family's 1533-position model. The record is from RNAcentral. Lineage: Bacteria; Pseudomonadati; Pseudomonadota; Gammaproteobacteria; Moraxellales; Moraxellaceae.
UAACUGAAGAGUUUGAUCAUGGCUCAGAUUGAACGCUGGCGGCAGGCUUAACACAUGCAAGUCGAGCGGGGGAAGGUAGCUUGCUACCGGACCUAGCGGCGGACGGGUGAGUAAUGCUUAGGAAUCUGCCUAUUAGUGGGGGGCAACAUCUCGAAAGGGAUGCUAAUACCGCAUACGUCCUACGGGAGAAAGCAGGGGAUCUUCGGACCUUGCGCUAAUAGAUGAGCCUAAGUCGGAUUAGCUAGUUGGUGGGGUAAAGGCCUACCAAGGCGACGAUCUGUAGCGGGUCUGAGAGGAUGAUCCGCCACACUGGGACUGAGACACGGCCCAGACUCCUACGGGAGGCAGCAGUGGGGAAUAUUGGACAAUGGGGGGAACCCUGAUCCAGCCAUGCCGCGUGUGUGAAGAAGGCCUUAUGGUUGUAAAGCACUUUAAGCGAGGAGGAGGCUACUUUAGUUAAUACCUAGAGAUAGUGGACGUUACUCGCAGAAUAAGCACCGGCUAACUCUGUGCCAGCAGCCGCGGUAAUACAGAGGGUGCGAGCGUUAAUCGGAUUUACUGGGCGUAAAGCGUGCGUAGGCGGCUUAUUAAGUCGGAUGUGAAAUCCCCGAGCUUAACUUGGGAAUUGCAUUCGAUACUGGUGAGCUAGAGUAUGGGAGAGGAUGGUAGAAUUCCAGGUGUAGCGGUGAAAUGCGUAGAGAUCUGGAGGAAUACCGAUGGCGAAGGCAGCCAUCUGGCCUAAUACUGACGCUGAGGUACGAAAGCAUGGGGAGCAAACAGGAUUAGAUACCCUGGUAGUCCAUGCCGUAAACGAUGUCUACUAGCCGUUG